CUACGGGUUGCUGCAGUGGGGAAUAUUGCACAAUGGAGGAAACUCUGAUGCAGCAACGCCGCGUGGAGGAUGACACUUUUCGGAGCGUAAACUCCUUUUAUAUAGGAAGAAGAUGACGGUACUAUAUGAAUAAGCACCGGCUAACUCCGUGCCAGCAGCCGCGGUAAUACGGAGGGCGCAAGCGUUACUCGGAAUCACUGGGCGUAAAGAGCGUGUAGGCGGAUUAAAAAGUCAGAAGUGAAAUCCUAUAGCUUAACUAUAGAACUGCUUCUGAAACUCUUAAUCUAGAAUAUGGGAGAGGUAGAUGGAAUUUCUGGUGUAGGGGUAAAAUCCGUAGAGAUCAGAAGGAAUACCGAUUGCGAAGGCGAUCUACUAGAACAUUAUUGACGCUGAGACGCGAAAGCGCGGGGAGCAAACAGGAUUAGAUACCCGUGUAGUC
Molecule: ribosomal RNA, 439 nt
Filed under: uncultured bacterium
Lineage: Bacteria
Description: partial 16S ribosomal RNA
Rfam family: Bacterial small subunit ribosomal RNA
Source: RNAcentral